This 1375-nucleotide ribosomal RNA is filed under the name Arthrobacter psychrochitiniphilus. RNAcentral's name for it is "bacterial SSU rRNA". Lineage: Bacteria; Bacillati; Actinomycetota; Actinomycetes; Micrococcales; Micrococcaceae. The record is from RNAcentral.
GAUGAACCUCGCUUGCGGGGGGAUUAGUGGCGAACGGGUGAGUAACACGUGAGUAACCUGCCCUUAACUCUGGGAUAAGCCUUGGAAACGGGGUCUAAUACUGGAUAUUGACUUUACCUCGCAUGGGGUUUGGUUGAAAGAUUUAUUGGUUUUGGAUGGACUCGCGGCCUAUCAGCUUGUUGGUGAGGUAAUGGCUCACCAAGGCGACGACGGGUAGCCGGCCUGAGAGGGUGACCGGCCACACUGGGACUGAGACACGGCCCAGACUCCUACGGGAGGCAGCAGUGGGGAAUAUUGCACAAUGGGCGAAAGCCUGAUGCAGCGACGCCGCGUGAGGGAUGACGGCCUUCGGGUUGUAAACCUCUUUCAGUAGGGAACAAGGCCAGCAUUUUUGUUGGUUGAGGGUACUUGCAGAAGAAGCGCCGGCUAACUACGUGCCAGCAGCCGCGGUAAUACGUAGGGCGCAAGCGUUAUCCGGAAUUAUUGGGCGUAAAGAGCUCGUAGGCGGUUUGUCGCGUCUGCCGUGAAAGUCCGGGGCUCAACUCCGGAUCUGCGGUGGGUACGGGCAGACUAGAGUGAUGUAGGGGAGACUGGAAUUCCUGGUGUAGCGGUGAAAUGCGCAGAUAUCAGGAGGAACACCGAUGGCGAAGGCAGGUCUCUGGGCAUUAACUGACGCUGAGGAGCGAAAGCAUGGGGAGCGAACAGGAUUAGAUACCCUGGUAGUCCAUGCCGUAAACGUUGGGCACUAGGUGUGGGGGACAUUCCACGUUUUCCGCGCCGUAGCUAACGCAUUAAGUGCCCCGCCUGGGGAGUACGGCCGCAAGGCUAAAACUCAAAGGAAUUGACGGGGGCCCGCACAAGCGGCGGAGCAUGCGGAUUAAUUCGAUGCAACGCGAAGAACCUUACCARGGCUUGACAUGAACUGGAAAUACCUGGAAACAGGUGCCCCGCUUGCGGUCGGUUUACAGGUGGUGCAUGGUUGUCGUCAGCUCGUGUCGUGAGAUGUUGGGUUAAGUCCCGCAACGAGCGCAACCCUCGUUCUAUGUUGCCAGCACGUGAUGGUGGGGACUCAUAGGAGACUGCCGGGGUCAACUCGGAGGAAGGUGAGGACGACGUCAAAUCAUCAUGCCCCUUAUGUCUUGGGCUUCACGCAUGCUACAAUGGCCGGUACAAUGGGUUGCGAUACUGUGAGGUGGAGCUAAUCCCAAAAAGCCGGUCUCAGUUCGGAUUGGGGUCUGCAACUCGACCCCAUGAAGUCGGAGUCGCUAGUAAUCGCAGAUCAGCAACGCUGCGGUGAAUACGUUCCCGGGCCUUGUACACACCGCCCGUCAAGUCACGAAAGUUGGUAACACCCGAAGCCGGUGGCCUAACCCCC